CAUAAGUUAAGAAACAUUUAUGGAUCACACAAGAGAGAUAAUUUAGCCCUUAGGUUGAUAUUUUAGGUAUUAUUUUAGAUGAAUGUAUACUAAAGAAGAAUCCUUCAAUUUGAUUUUGAUAGAUGUUAUUAAUAAAAAGUAUCGAUCUUCUUUACUAAAUUUACAAGUUUCUUUAUUGGCUUCUAUGUGAAUUCACUAAUUUUAUAUUUGCACUAAUGAAUAAGACAUUCCAACCAAUUUUGGCACUACCUUAAGUCUAAGAUUUCUUUGAUUUUAUAUUCUUCGUUAUUAUCCACUUCUUUUAAAGGAGGUGGCAUUUAUUGUCUUACUAAUAUAUCUAUUAACUUCUAUGACUUAAGAAGAAACACAUGAAAUAUAGAAUAGAUUUUUAUAGACUCCAAU
RNAcentral lists this long non-coding RNA (402 nucleotides) under Physcomitrium patens. RNAcentral's name for it is "long non-coding RNA (PPAT_LNC000219)". The record is from RNAcentral. Lineage: Eukaryota; Viridiplantae; Streptophyta; Bryopsida; Funariales; Funariaceae.